GAUGAACGCUGGCGGCGUGCCUAAUACAUGCAAGUCGAGCGAACAGACGAGGAGCUUGCUCCUCUGACGUUAGCGGCGGACGGGUGAGUAACACGUGGAUAACCUACCUAUAAGACUGGGAUAACUUCGGGAAACCGGAGCUAAUACCGGAUAAUAUAUUGAACCGCAUGGUUCAAUAGUGAAAGACGGUUUUGCUGUCACCUAUAGAUGGAUCCGCGCCGCAUUAGCUAGUUGGUAAGGUAACGGCUUACCAAGGCAACGAUGCGUAGCCGACCUGAGAGGGUGAUCGGCCACACUGGAACUGAGACACGGUCCAGACUCCUACGGGAGGCAGCAGUAGGGAAUCUUCCGCAAUGGGCGAAAACCUGACGGAGCAACGCCGCGUGAGUGAUGAAGGUCUUCGGAUCGUAAAACUCUGUUAUUAGGGAAGAACAAAUGUGUAAGUAACUAUGCACGUCUUGACGGUACCUAAUCAGAAAGCCACGGCUAACUACGUG
This 497-nucleotide ribosomal RNA is filed under the name uncultured bacterium. RNAcentral describes it as "partial 16S ribosomal RNA". It matches the Rfam family "Bacterial small subunit ribosomal RNA", at positions 28 to 507 of the family's 1533-position model. The record is from RNAcentral.